RNAcentral lists this ribosomal RNA (253 nucleotides) under uncultured bacterium. RNAcentral describes it as "partial 16S ribosomal RNA". It matches the Rfam family "Bacterial small subunit ribosomal RNA", at positions 524 to 776 of the family's 1533-position model. The record is from RNAcentral.
UACGUAGGUGGCGAGCGUUGUCCGGAUUUACUGGGCGUAAAGAGCGCGCAGGCGGCUGGGCAAGUCCGAUGUGAAAGCUUCCGGCUUAACUGGAAAAUUGCAUCGGAAACUGCUCGGCUUGAAGGUGGGAGAGGGUAGCGGAAUUCCCGGUGUAGUGGUGAAAUGCGUAGGUAUCGGGAGGAACACCAGUGGCGAAGGCGGCUACCUGGCCCACUCUUGACGCUGAGGCGCGAAAGCUAGGGGAGCAAACGGG